CAGAACGAACGCUGGCGGCAGGCCUAACACAUGCAAGUCGAACGCCCCGCAAGGGGAGUGGCAGACGGGUGAGUAACGCGUGGGAACCUACCUAGAGGUGCGGAAUAGCCCAGGGAAACUUGGAGUAAUACCGCAUAAGCCCGCAAGGGGAAAGAUUUAUCGCCUUUAGAUGGGCCCGCGUCUGAUUAGCUAGUUGGUGAGGUAAUGGCUCACCAAGGCGACGAUCAGUAGCUGGUUUGAGAGAAUGACCAGCCACACUGGGACUGAGACACGGCCCAGACUCCUACGGGAGGCAGCAGUGGGGAAUCUUGGACAAUGGGGGCAACCCUGAUCCAGCCAUGCCGCGUGAGUGACGAAGGCCUUAGGGUUGUAAAGCUCUUUUGGCGGGGACGAUAAUGACGGUACCCGCAGAAUAAGUCCCGGCUAACUUCGUGCCAGCAGCCGCGGUAAUACGAAGGGGACUAGCGUUGUUCGGAAUUACUGGGC
RNAcentral lists this ribosomal RNA (486 nucleotides) under uncultured bacterium. RNAcentral's name for it is "bacterial SSU rRNA". It matches the Rfam family "Bacterial small subunit ribosomal RNA", at positions 25 to 559 of the family's 1533-position model. The record is from RNAcentral.